UCCAUUCCGAAGUUGUAGUUUGUUUUGACAUUUCCUUUUUAUUUAACCUAACCUAUGUUUUGUGUUUUAUUGUGUUGUAUACAAGGAGUUGUAUAUUGAAAUUGAAUUGAUUCUUGUUUCAUUGAAUAUAGAGGAGUUGUUCUGUUGCAAGUUGUUCUAGUUUUGUUGUUUUAAAAUCUGCGAAAAACUAUUUAUAGAUAAUGGUGAACUUAAACAAGAAAUGGACAUGCAGUUUGCUGAUUACUUAAUUGUGUACUCACAACACAUAGGAUUUCUCUGACACAGUUUCCAGUACAGAACUGCCACAGGAAUCUCCAGUGGAGUUGCAACCGCUCUCACGGACGUCCACAAAUCAAGUUACAAAACUGUUACAUGACUCUAUUGGAGUUGCAACCGCAAUUGGAUAAAAGUGAAAUUCGAAUAAUGCCAGAAAGACUAUAACCGUCCAAAGUGAUAGUGUGAAAUUAAAAUCAAAUGAUUACGUAUAAAUCAUAUUUAUAAUAAUUAUAAAUAGUAGCUGUAUUUUUUAAAUAAACAGAUUUGAUAAGUUA
This 551-nucleotide long non-coding RNA is filed under the name Diabrotica virgifera virgifera (western corn rootworm). RNAcentral describes it as "uncharacterized LOC126878743". The record is from RNAcentral. Lineage: Eukaryota; Metazoa; Arthropoda; Insecta; Coleoptera; Chrysomelidae.